AAUGUACUCCCUCCGUUCCAUAAUUCUUGUCUCAAAUUUGUUCAAAAAUGGAUGUAUCUAUUCCUAAAAAAUGUCUAGAUAAAUGUAAUAUUUCGACAAGAAUUAUGGAACGGAGGGAGUAGGCA
This is a non-coding RNA of Brachypodium distachyon (stiff brome), 125 nucleotides long. The record is from Rfam. NCBI's taxonomy places the organism in Eukaryota, Viridiplantae, Streptophyta, Magnoliopsida, Poales, Poaceae.